CCUACGGGAGGCAGCAGUGGGGAAUCUUGCACAAUGGAGGAAACUCUGAUGCAGCGAUGCCGCGUGAGUGAAGAAGGCCUUUGGGUUGUAAAGCUCUUUUGUAGGGGAAGAUAAUGACUGUACCCUAAGAAUAAGGUCCGGCUAACUUCGUGCCAGCAGCCGCGGUAAUACGAAGGGACCUAGCGUAGUUCGGAAUUACUGGGCGUAAAGCGCGCGUAGGCCGUUGAGUUAGUUAAUUGUGAAAUCCCAAAGCUUAACUUUGGAACUGCAAUUAAAACUGCUCGACUAGAGUUUGAUAGAGGAAAGCGGAAUACAUAGUGUAGAGGUGAAAUUCGUAGAUAUUAUGUAGAACACCAGUUGCGAAGGCGGCUUUCUGGAUCAACACUGACGCUGAGGCGCGAAAGUAUGGGUAGCAAAGAGGAUUAGAUACCCUCGUAGUCCAUACCAUAAACGAUGAUUGCUAGAUGUUGGAAAUUUAUUUUCAGUAUCGCAGCUAACGCAUUAAGCAAUCCGCCUGGGGAUACGACCGCAAGGUUAAAACUCAAAUGAAUUGACGGNUGAGAGNGCGAGCGACACGAGGAGAG
RNAcentral lists this ribosomal RNA (584 nucleotides) under uncultured bacterium. RNAcentral describes it as "bacterial SSU rRNA". It matches the Rfam family "Bacterial small subunit ribosomal RNA", at positions 338 to 943 of the family's 1533-position model. The record is from RNAcentral.